RNAcentral lists this ribosomal RNA (1389 nucleotides) under Triticum aestivum (bread wheat). RNAcentral's name for it is "partial small subunit ribosomal RNA". The record is from RNAcentral. Lineage: Eukaryota; Viridiplantae; Streptophyta; Magnoliopsida; Poales; Poaceae.
AUGGCACGGCGGAGGAGUGGUGUCUGCCUGUCAGCUGGACCUGGCGCUGACGAAGGCCCGGAUGUGGGCGAGCAUCUCCUGCGUGCGCGGCUGGGACAGGUGGCAGUUGUGGAGCACCUGGAAGGCGUGCCCCACGCCGCCGUACGUCGCCUGCUCCACGCUCUUGCCGGCCUUGCGCAGCGCCCUGCACAGCUCCAGGUUCCGGUCGCGCAGGAUGUCCGCCUCCGAGAUGCACACCAGCACGGCCGGCAGCGCCAGGGCCUCCAGCCGGGGCGCGCCGCGGGCCAGCGGGUUGCACCAGGGGUGGUCGCGCCCGGCGCCCGCCGGGAGCGCCAUGCGCCAGUAGCUGUCCGAGGUGGAGAGGCUCAGCGCCGACCCCGCUGGCUGCGGCAUGCUCUUCUCCGACGCCGUGCGGGCCUCCCCGCCGAAGAAGGGCUGGAUCAGUACGGCCCCCUUCACCGAGAGCGGCGCCAGCGCGCCCAGCUGGCCCUGCCCGGCCCGCGCCGCGACGUGGAACGCGAUGGCGGCGCCCGCGCUGUCGCCCAUCAGGAACACGCGGUCGAACCUGCACCGGCCGCGCCACCAGGAGACCUCGUCGGAGGCGGCGGCGUUGUUUCUGCCCGCCUGCUGCCGCAGCCACCGCAGCGCCGUGAGCCCGUCGUCGAAGGCCGCGGGCAGCCGGUUCUCCGGCGCCAGGCGGUAGUCGACGGACAUCACGGCGCAGCCCGCCCGCGCGGGGAGCUGGGCGACGAACUCGUGGUAGCAGCUCCACGCCGCGGAGCCGACGCUGAACCCGCCGCCGUGGAAGUAGACCACCACGGGGACCUUCCCCGCCGCGGCGGCCGGCGCGUACAGGCGCGCCCACACCCCCGUGGCGCGGUCGACCGCCACGUCGCGCGCGAGGACGCCGCUCCCGGCGGCCGUCGAGCCCCACGUGCAGGGCACGUCGGGGAUCGCCGGGAGGCGCUCCACGUGCCCGUCCUUGUACACGCGGAUGAGCCCGUGUAUCUCCUCCACGACGGCGCCGUGGCCCCCGCCGUUCUUGCCGACCUGCUGCUGGAAGCUGACCCGCGGCUCGCCGACGUGCAGUGCCCCCAUCCUCCUCCUUAUCAUGCAGAAGCCCUCGCGCGCGCGUCGGCUUGGAUCGAUGCGAGCGGCGCGGCCGGCCGGCAGGCGCUAGACAACGAGAGUGGUGCUAGGCCUUGGGUUGUCUGUGCGCUGUGGGGUGUCCCGGGAGCCGGCGGCGGACACAAUUAUGCGGCGUUGUCCGGGGAGCUCGGGCGGUGGCCGGGUUUUAUAGCCGGGAGGGGGACGGUGGGACAGGUGUCGGGCUGGCUUUGGCUGCCGAGCGAUCGAGUGGACUCGCAAAGUGGGGGUGGGGGUGGGUGA